Molecule: ribosomal RNA, 242 nt
Filed under: uncultured bacterium
Lineage: Bacteria
Description: partial 16S ribosomal RNA
Rfam family: Bacterial small subunit ribosomal RNA
Source: RNAcentral
AGGUGGCGAGCGUUGUCCGGAAUUAUUGGGCGUAAAGAGCAUGUAGGCGGUCUGCUAAGUCCAUGGUGAAAGCGUAGGGCUCAACCCCAUAUAGCCAUGGAUACUGACAGACUAGAGUACUGGAGAGGGUAGUGGAAUUCCAUGUGUAGCGGUAAAAUGCGUAGAUAUAUGGAGGAACACCGGUGGCGAAGGCGGCUACCUAGACAGAGACUGACGCUGAGGCACGAAAGCGUGGGGAGCAA